AAUGGGCGCAAGCCUGAUGCAGCGACGCCGCGUGGGGGAUGACGGCCUUCGGGUUGUAAACUCCUUUCGUCAGGGAAGAAGCCUUUUGGGGUGACGGUACCUGGAGAAGAAGCACCGGCUAACUACGUGCCAGCAGCCGCGGUAAUACGUAGGGUGCGAGCGUUGUCCGGAAUUAUUGGGCGUAAAGAGCUUGUAGGCGGUUUGUCGCGUCUGCGGUGAAAACCCGGGGCUUAACCUUGGGCGUGCCGUGGGUACGGGCAGGCUAGAGUGUGGUAGGGGAGACUGGAAUUCCUGGUGUAGCGGUGAAAUGCGCAGAUAUCAGGAGGAACACCGAUGGCGAAGGCAGGUCUCUGGGCCAUUACUGACGCUGAGAAGCGAAAGCAUGGGGAGCGAA
Molecule: ribosomal RNA, 394 nt
Filed under: uncultured bacterium
Lineage: Bacteria
Description: bacterial SSU rRNA
Rfam family: Bacterial small subunit ribosomal RNA
Source: RNAcentral